GGGGGAGGGAAGUCAGUGUAGCAAAUAACAGUGGGGGAGGAAAUGUGGACAGGAUUAUGAGGGUUACACUGUGUUCGCUGCACUAGCCAAGACUUGAGUGAUUUGUUCCAUUCUCUGCUGCGUGUAGCUUGCUUUGUCUACACUCCUAAUGUAUAACGUGCACUUAAUGUGUUAACUGAUACUUCACAGAAUAGGUACCACCUCCUAGCAUGACAAAAUUCCUGCACAGAAAGCUAAACAGAGCCUCCAUGGUCACAUGCUGUAUACCUUUAAAUUGCACACUCUGAGGAACAGAGGAGGGAUGUUGUCUUCAUGAGCAGCCUGUGAGCAUCUCAAGGGCAUCUGCCUGCCAUCUGUUGAAAACAGAAUGCUGGACUAAGGUGGACCUGAGGUCCAAUCCAGCAGGACUCAAGUGGUUAUGCUUUCUUUCAAGCAAGAAAAAGCAUGCAAUGUUCUUGUGGACCACAUCUGACAAGUCACAAGCAGAGACAUACCUACAGGUCACUUAAAUUGGCCCUUGCCCAGGGGGGCAAAAUUCACACCUGUUGACUCUGGCUCAGAGUGCCUAGGAGCCCCGUUGCCCAUCUGCCCGCUCCCUGGGCCACCCCUCCAUUACUCUGGGCAGCCAGGCAUGGCACGUCGACUCCUCUGGGUGCCUCGGUGGACCUCUUUGCCAAGGGUGCAAGGGAGCCUAGGAAUGCCUCUGAUUACACGUGUUUCAUCUUGCUGGGUUCACAGCAGAAUACCAGUUGUUAAACAUGACAUUCUACAUGCAAGUUGCAUACAAUUUCUUUCCUGAAAUGUGCAGGAGAUUUGCCAACAUAACAAAUUUGCCAAUUCUUAACAAAAUGCUCUUUAACACCAGCAAAUUUUAUUUGGGCAAGCGCUUUGGAAAACCUUCUCCACCUCCUCCUCUAUCAAGUUGUUUGCUUUUAAACUUCUGCUGAUUAUGGAAUUCUCAGUUGUUUAAUCACAUGCCUUUUGAAUGAUUCGUUUUAAAUAUAUUUGCAUGUUACCAAAAUCUCAAUAUAGGUGCCUUUUUGAGAUGUGUAUUGCAUUGUAAGUAUAAGAUCUGUGACUCCCUGUUCUAAUGAAAGGUCAUAUUUUAAUGCUUUCCUCUAUCAUUUCCUAUUAUGGCACAGCAUCAGAGCCAAAAUAGCCUCAAAAGACAUGUGCUGUUUGUUCUCAGUCCCAGCAACCAAAAUCUGCCCUCAGCACCUAAAAUUAAACCUUACAAUCCUAUUUCUUAUGCUCAUGGCUGCUCAGGUUCAACAACCUUUAUUAACAUGGACUCCCAUUCUGCAUUUUGCACACACUUGCCUAUAUGAAUUCUUACAACAGCAUCUUUUCAAUAUUUUAAAUGUUUUUGCAUGCACACACAACCACAUAAACUUUAGUCUGAGCACUGUAUAAGUGGGGUAGAAUUUGUUUUGUUUUGUUUUUAAUUCUACCACCACUCCUCAAAUGGAAACAAUAGCUUCUCUCCCUGCCCCCAUUCCCCAGUAAUUAUUGGAAGAGGAAGCCUUCAUGCAUUGCUAACUGGCUACAAAAUGCAAAUCUUUCAAAAUACUCUGUAUGGGAAGAAGAGGGAAUAUUGUAUUAAGAAACACAAAUUUAAAUAACAAAGGGACUCACUCAGCAGUGAACACCACCUUGGAAUGGAACUAGGUGCUGGUGCAGAACUGGUUGGAUCUCAAGAGUUGUUUGGACAUUUCCAGGAGAUACUUCAGAUUUUCUCCACCCACCCCACUGUCCUACCAGCAAGUCUGUUGAUUCUUUCUUUCUGAGGAAUCUUGCAUGCCCCCUGGUCCAGCCCUGCUCUCUCUGCAGGUGUUAAAACAUCUUGCCACAGAUUGCUCUGGGUGUUAACCCAACAGUUGCUGGGACUCUGUAGACACCUUGUGCUUUCUGAGUCAUAUUCUGCUGCUAAUGACCAAGGUUCCUAGCAUAGGACAUUGGGAAAUAAUCAAUAGAUGGGAGUUACCAUUCUUAAUCAGUUUGGGCCAGCUGAAGAUUGGGUCAUGCUCCAUGCUAUGGUCCAUCCUUCCUGGUCCCUACCUCCUGCCUAUGUACAUUGCACUUUGGGUAAGGGGAUCAGGGACAAAUUCUUUUCCCAGCUGGAAGAGGCACCAAAUUGUAGGUUUCUACAGCUCUGGACUAUGUACUGGUUUUUGGUUGGGGCUGAGCUUUUCACCUGACCUAGGAGCUGCAUAUCCUUUGCCAAACUCCCCUCCCCCUUGUAACGGCUCUUGUCGGUUCUUCAUCUCUCCCCUAUUACUGCUUAGCUAUGUAACACAGCCUCUCCUGUUCAUCUCCUGAAAACAACCUCUGCCCCACCCCACGCUGCAAGUAACAACUAACCCUUUGAUAAAGCAGAUGGAAGUCCUGGGAUUCCUGAUGGAUGGAAGGGCUGAAAUCUGGCCAGAUUUUUCUUCAUUUUUCAAAGGCCAUUAGCUUCUGGCACAGAUUGCCAAAGUGGGGCCAUUGAUUUCCUGUCUGUCCCAGACCAAAACAAACCACCUUUCCUAAGUGAUGAUAAAUGCAACUGCCUUACUCAUAUAAUGAUUGGAGAGGAAUUUGCUGGCCUAUGCUAAUGAUCUAAAUAGUCUCUUUUUGCUUUUGAUCGUAAGACUACAGACCACUUCACCUGACAUUCUGAGCUAUUGCACAGGAUUUUUACACCCCUUUGUGUUUCCCUUACAAAUUUGCAAGCCAGAGCAAAGGCAAUAGGGCCCAAGAACCCAGUGCUUUCCACUCUUGAAUGGCUGGGGAUGGGGAAUGUCAACAUGGUUUAGGAGGUGAGAAGUUGUUUUGCUAACAAUGGUUAGUUCUGAGGAUGAAAUAACUGCUGUGCUCUUUAAGCCUGAGAAUGCCAACCAGUUCCACCAGUUCCAGUUUCCAUAAUAACUGUGAGAGUUAUUUCCCUUGCAACUGGGCCCAAAAUUAGGGAUUUUCCAAACACCACCACCUCUUUCUGCUGCUGCUGCCAUCAUUAAGAUGUUCCAGAUCUGUGAACGUGCCAAGUGUCUGCCCAGCACCCUCCUGCAAAUUGAGGGGCGAGUGGCUAUCAGAAGUCUCAUCUGCUCAGGGCCAGGUUUCACUGGGAGAGCAACUGUUCCAUCUUCUUGCAUGCACACUCACGCCUGCAUUGCCAGAGCCGUGGGAGAACCCAAACACAGUCUUCCAGGGUUUCAGCUUUAAGUCCACCAGUGUUGUCUCAAUGCCAGUGUUGUCUCAGACCUUCUCCUUCGCUUCCUACCCCUCAAGUCCUGCCCAGUGCAGGUUAUAUACUGUCUGUGAUUUUUGUGCUAACUUUAUCAUGGAACAUAGCAAUAAAAGGAACCACCCUGAUCUUCCAGCUG
This 3362-nucleotide long non-coding RNA is filed under the name Podarcis lilfordi (Lilford's wall lizard). The record is from RNAcentral. Lineage: Eukaryota; Metazoa; Chordata; Lepidosauria; Squamata; Lacertidae.